RNAcentral lists this small RNA (98 nucleotides) under Rhizobium sp. BK313. Its description in RNAcentral is "sRNA ar35". It matches the Rfam family "Alphaproteobacterial sRNA ar35". Lineage: Bacteria; Pseudomonadati; Pseudomonadota; Alphaproteobacteria; Hyphomicrobiales; Rhizobiaceae. The record is from RNAcentral.
AUCUGGCUGCAGUAUCCGCCUUGCCUUUGACCACGGAUGUACUGGCACUGAUGCGAGGACGGAUGACGAAAGGCCGGUUUGUUCCGGCCUUUUUGUUU